Trichonephila clavipes is the source of this 73-nucleotide non-coding RNA. The record is from the annotation of a GenBank genome assembly. NCBI's taxonomy places the organism in Eukaryota, Metazoa, Arthropoda, Arachnida, Araneae, Nephilidae.
AUCCCAGUAGUGCAAUGUAUAGCGCGUUGGACUUGUAAUCCACAGGUCAUGGGAUUGUAACCCAUCUAGGAUG